This 492-nucleotide ribosomal RNA is filed under the name uncultured bacterium. RNAcentral describes it as "partial 16S ribosomal RNA". It matches the Rfam family "Bacterial small subunit ribosomal RNA", at positions 29 to 507 of the family's 1533-position model. The record is from RNAcentral.
AGUGAACGCUGGCGGUAGGCCUAACACAUGCAAGUCGAACGGCAGCACAGUAAGAGCUUGCUCUUACGGGUGGCGAGUGGCGGACGGGUGAGGAAUACAUCGGAAUCUACUUUUUCGUGGGGGAUAACGUAGGGAAACUUACGCUAAUACCGCAUACGACCUACGGGUGAAAGCAGGGGAUCUUCGGACCUUGCGCGAUUGAAUGAGCCGAUGUCGGAUUAGCUAGUUGGCGGGGUAAAGGCCCACCAAGGCGACGAUCCGUAGCUGGUCUGAGAGGAUGAUUAGCCACAAUGGAACCGAGACACGGUCCCGACUCCUACGGGAGGCAGCCGUGGGGAAUAUUUGACAAUUGGCCCAAGCCUGAUCCCGCCAUACCGCGUUGGUGAAGAAGGCCUUCGGGUUGUAAAGCCCUUUUGUUGGGAAAGAAAAGCAGCAGGUUAAUACCCCGCUGUUCUGACGGUACCCAAAGAAUAAGCACCGGCUAACUUCGUG